RNAcentral lists this ribosomal RNA (718 nucleotides) under Enterococcus faecalis. Its description in RNAcentral is "bacterial SSU rRNA". It matches the Rfam family "Bacterial small subunit ribosomal RNA", at positions 18 to 725 of the family's 1533-position model. The record is from RNAcentral. Lineage: Bacteria; Bacillati; Bacillota; Bacilli; Lactobacillales; Enterococcaceae.
CCUGGCUCAGAUUGAACGCUGGCGGCAGGCCUAACACAUGCAAGUCGAACGGUAACAGGAAGAAGCUUGCUUCUUUGCUGACGAGUGGCGGACGGGUGAGUAAUGUCUGGGAAACUGCCUGAUGGAGGGGGAUAACUACUGGAAACGGUAGCUAAUACCGCAUAACGUCGCAAGACCAAAGAGGGGGACCUUCGGGCCUCUUGCCAUCGGAUGUGCCCAGAUGGGAUUAGCUAGUAGGUGGGGUAACGGCUCACCUAGGCGACGAUCCCUAGCUGGUCUGAGAGGAUGACCAGCCACACUGGAACUGAGACACGGUCCAGACUCCUACGGGAGGCAGCAGUGGGGAAUAUUGCACAAUGGGCGCAAGCCUGAUGCAGCCAUGCCGCGUGUAUGAAGAAGGCCUUCGGGUUGUAAAGUACUUUCAGCGGGGAGGAAGGGAGUAAAGUUAAUACCUUUGCUCAUUGACGUUACCCGCAGAAGAAGCACCGGCUAACUCCGUGCCAGCAGCCGCGGUAAUACGGAGGGUGCAAGCGUUAAUCGGAAUUACUGGGCGUAAAGCGCACGCAGGCGGUUUGUUAAGUCAGAUGUGAAAUCCCCGGGCUCAACCUGGGAACUGCAUCUGAUACUGGCAAGCUUGAGUCUCGUAGAGGGGGGUAGAAUUCCAGGUGUAGCGGUGAAAUGCGUAGAGAUCUGGAGGAAUACCGGUGGCGAAGGCGGC